UCGGAUCCUCCUUAAACACUUACUUCUUCACCUUGCUCCUAGGCUCAUAUUCUCACCCCUUGUUGGAGUUCAAACAACAGCAUUCUUUGGUUCAAAUCAUAAUUUGAUCACACUUCCUUUCAUCUCCCGCCUUUUUUUUGAACUACGGAGCUCAGAAUUCCUCAUUGCACUAUGAGGAUAUGUAUGCAUGAGGGCCCUAAUCCUCACCGAGCACUUUAUCUAUUUCCUUUCCUUUUCUUAUUCUUUUGCGAGUAAUCUUUAGAUAUCACACAUAUUCGAGCGAGAACAAUCAAAACGGUUCCCAUGGAGUACAAUGGAUGUUUGGGGUGCUAAUACCUUCCCCUUGCAUAAUCGACUUCCUUACCUAACAUAACUCUUUCCCCGGGUUUU
Molecule: long non-coding RNA, 390 nt
Filed under: Lathyrus oleraceus (garden pea)
Lineage: Eukaryota; Viridiplantae; Streptophyta; Magnoliopsida; Fabales; Fabaceae
Description: Pisum sativum (pea) long non-coding RNA (PSAT_LNC042363)
Source: RNAcentral